This 446-nucleotide ribosomal RNA is filed under the name uncultured bacterium. Its description in RNAcentral is "partial 16S ribosomal RNA". It matches the Rfam family "Bacterial small subunit ribosomal RNA", at positions 338 to 795 of the family's 1533-position model. The record is from RNAcentral.
CCUACGGGUGACUGCAGUCGAGAAUCAUUCACAAUGGGAGAAACCCUGAUGGUGCGACGCCGCGUGGGGGAAUGAAGGUCUUCGGAUUGUAAACCCCUGUCAUGUGGGAGCAAAUUAAAAAGAUAGUACCACAAGAGGAAGAGACGGCUAACUCUGUGCCAGCAGCCGCGGUAAUACAGAGGUCUCAAGCGUUGUUCGGAAUCACUGGGCGUAAGGCGUGCGUAGGCUGUUUCGUAAGUCGUGUGUGAAAGGCGCGGGCUCAACCCGCGGACGGCACAUGAUACUGCGAGACUAGAGUAAUGGAGGGGGAACCGGAAUUCUCGGUGUAGCAGUGAAAUGCGUAGAUAUCGAGAGGAACACUCGUGGCGAAGGCGGGUUCCUGGACAUUAACUGACGCUGAGGCACGAAGGCCAGGGGAGCGAAAGGGAUUAGAUACCCUGGUAGUC